CAAUAAGCGGAGGAAAAGAAACCAACAGGGAUUGCCCUAGUAACGGCGAGCGAAGCGGCAACAGCUCAAAUUUGAAAUCUGGCUACUUUGUAGUCCGAGUUGUAAUUUGUAGAGGAUGCUUUUGGUGAGGUGCCUUCCGAGUUCCCUGGAACGGGACGCCAGAGAGGGUGAGAGCCCCGUACGGUUGGAUACCAAACCUUUGUAUAGCUCCUUCGACGAGUCGAGUAGUUUGGGAAUGCUGCUCUAAAUGGGAGGUAUAUCUCUUCUAAAGCUAAAUAUAGGCUAGAGACCGAUAGCGCACAAGUAGAGUGAUCGAAAGAUGAAAAGCACUUUGAAAAGAGAGUUAAACAGCACGUGAAAUUGUUGAAAGGGAAGCGCCUAUGACCAGACUUGUUUCUUUCAGUUUUGUUAGUUCUCGGACUGAUUUACUCUGUUAGUACAGGCCAGCAUCAGUUUGUUGUCGGGGAGAAAGGCUUAGGGAAUGUGGCUCUUUCGGGAGUGUUAUAGCCCUUUGCAUAAUACCCUUCGGCAGACUGAGGACCGCGCUUCGGCAAGGAUGCUGGCGUAAUGG
This 571-nucleotide ribosomal RNA is filed under the name Chalaropsis thielavioides. RNAcentral's name for it is "LSU rRNA". It matches the Rfam family "Eukaryotic large subunit ribosomal RNA", at positions 44 to 637 of the family's 3401-position model. The record is from RNAcentral. Lineage: Eukaryota; Fungi; Ascomycota; Sordariomycetes; Microascales; Ceratocystidaceae.